CGAUGGGACCAUACCAUGUCACAAAAAACCCCGUUCUCAUCCGAUCACCGAAGUUAAGCGACGUUGGGCCCGGUUAAUAUUUGUAUGAGUAACCGGCUGGAAAUACCUGGUGGGUCCUAGUGA
RNAcentral lists this ribosomal RNA (123 nucleotides) under Trichobilharzia regenti. The record is from RNAcentral. Lineage: Eukaryota; Metazoa; Platyhelminthes; Trematoda; Strigeidida; Schistosomatidae.